UUUUUUUUUUUUUUUUUUUUUUUUUUUUUUUUUUUUUUUUUUUUUCUC
RNAcentral lists this non-coding RNA (48 nucleotides) under Alexandrium minutum. The record is from RNAcentral. Lineage: Eukaryota; Dinophyceae; Gonyaulacales; Pyrocystaceae.